CCUUUUCAUUCUGAUAAGAAGGAACUCUCCCUGUUGUAGCUAAAAUAGUAAUGUUACCUCCCACGAAGCAACGCAGCGAACUAUAAGGUUUGCAAUGGAGUUGGUACCUGCAAAUAAUGGAUUCAAGAAUGCCCAGAGGCAAGCAGGCCACCUUCAAAGGUGUCUCAGGACCCAUGGCCAGAUGCUGUUCAUUUGUGUCCCCCUG
Long non-coding RNA from Lepisosteus oculatus (spotted gar), 205 nucleotides. RefSeq lists it as uncharacterized. Lineage: Eukaryota; Metazoa; Chordata; Actinopteri; Semionotiformes; Lepisosteidae. The record is from RefSeq and is a predicted model, not a curated record.